GAUCACUAUAUGGCAGGGUCUUAGCUGGUACUGUGUAGAUCACUAUAUGGCAGGGUCUUAGCUGGUACUGUGUAGAUCACUAUAUGGCAGGGUCUUAGCUGGUACUGUGUAGAUCACUAUAUGGCAGGGUCUUAGCUGGGUACCGUGUAGAUCACUAUAUGGCAGGGUCUUAGCUGGUACUGUGUAGAUCACUAUAUGGCAGGGUCUUAGCUGGUACUGUGUGUAAAUCACUAUAUGGCAGGGUCUUAGCUGGUACUGAUGAUUGUCCUGCAUGCAGUUUGUGUGGACAAUGACUUGCCUAAUGUGUGCUAAUGGUGGUCUCUCUGAGGGGUACUGGUCUUUACUGUCUGAGGGGGUACUGGUCUUUACUAUCUGAGGGGUACUGGUCUUUACUGUCUGAGGGGUACUGGUCUUUACUGUUUGAGGGGUACUGGUCUUUACUGUCUGAGGGGAACUGGUCUUUGCUGUCUGAGGGGUACUGGUCUUUACUGUCUGGUCUGUCUGAGGGGUACUGGUCUUUACUGUCUGAGGGGAACUGGUCUUUACUGUCUGAGGGGUACUGGUCUUUACUGUCUGAGGGGUACUGGUCUUUACUGUCUGGUCUGUCUGAGGGGUACUGGUCUUUACUGUCUGAGGGGAACUGGUCUUUACUGUCUGGUCUGUCUGAAGGGUUUCAGGGCCAAUAGCCUGUAGACUCAUUAUGGUACGAAGUGUGCUUAAGCAGGAAGAGAUGUGAGGACGUAACUAUAUACAUUUUGACAAUCCCACUAUUUCAAUCACAACGUGGAAUGCCUAAAGGAGUGUGUAUGGGUGUGUGUAGGAGUAUGUUUGUGCAAAAAAGGCUUGCUAAAUUAUUUGAUUGGGAUUAAAUGGUAUUGUCCAGUCUGUCUGUCAAGACUGACAGUGAAUACCAACAGGAGGGAUUGUAUAGUUCUGAUGGUAUUGACCAGUCUGUAUUGACUCUGUGACAGUGGU
This 975-nucleotide long non-coding RNA is filed under the name Oncorhynchus kisutch (coho salmon). RNAcentral's name for it is "lncRNA (ENSOKIG00005010870.1)". Lineage: Eukaryota; Metazoa; Chordata; Actinopteri; Salmoniformes; Salmonidae. The record is from RNAcentral.